Molecule: long non-coding RNA, 1771 nt
Filed under: Elaeis guineensis (African oil palm)
Lineage: Eukaryota; Viridiplantae; Streptophyta; Magnoliopsida; Arecales; Arecaceae
Description: long non-coding RNA (EGUI_LNC019271)
Source: RNAcentral
ACAGUGAUAGUUGGGAUGGAUCUGGGACGGACAAUUUGGAAAGGAAGAAUGAUUGUUCUUCUUUUCCAACAUCAAUGGUUGAAUCGCACCUCAUACAGAUCUCAAAGCACUGCAGAUUCCUUCAUUCAUCUGCCCGCAAACUCCUUCGUAAAUCUCAAAGAGGCCAUUAUACGAUCUACUGGUGGAUUCAUGUGAAGGAAGGUAAAUCCUUCUUUCGCACAAAAGAUAUAAUCGUACCGGCAGAAGGGGGUAUCCACGAAUCCCACGCCUAACAGAUGGCAAAUCCUCUUUUUCUAGUACUGCCAAGUCCAAAUGUUUGAUCUACGAACGGUCUCUUUUGCUUCUCUCAAUAAUAGCAGCUGUUCGCUUAUUUCCCUCCGAACGUUCGCAUUAAAAGAGCUAUGCAGUAAUCUUUCAUGUAUCUGGAUUCUGAGUUGCUGGUACCAAGAAUUAGAUGUUUCAAUGACCCAAUGGCCUUACGGAUUGAGAUGCAAGGGCCACGUAGUUGGAGAAGCUCCACAAUGGCAUGACUUAAAAAUCUCUGUAUCUCUACCAUCAUAAGCGGAAACUAUCACACGCAUAUAAAAUAUGGUUAAGCAUAUAUAUACCCCACUUCAAUAACCAUAAAGAAUUUUACUGCUAGAUAAAGACACCUUUGAUUUCUAAGAAAAAAAGAUCCUUAGAUUGACUUUCCUCUAUUCAUUCUUCCUUUCCCUCCCACCACCUAUUAAUUUUCCUUCUCCUCUGCUCUCUUGGUGUUUGUAAGGAACAAGCAAAUCUUUUGCCCCCCGUGCCAGAAGCGGUCGUAGCUGAAUGGCUGGUGUCUCCUAUUGGCCCACUCUUAUCUAGCAACCCUUAAUAUAUAACUGGCAGAUGGAUGUGGAAUCAGCCUGCUUGAUGUGUUCUGCUAUGAUCAAUUGUCCAUGAUUGAUCAAUUGCAUCAUUCAACCAGCCCAAGUCGUAGCCUCAUAAUCAAGAACACUUCGCGAGAUGCGGGAUUUUAUACAAUUGAUCACCACAAUGAAUGCACUAAAACCAAUCUCACAAUCCAACCUACAAUUUCCUUCAAGCAAACCAAACCAAACUAAUGUAAAAUAGAGAACAAAACUGAGAGACAGAAGUGAGAACCAAAUUAAUAACCGAUCCACUGAUUUCCCAAUGAACUUGAUCAACAAAUUAACGUGGACUUAUUCAUUCAUCUCGAGCACACACCACACUGAAACUCCUUUCUCAGCUUCGUCAUCACAAAGAAUCUAGUGCAAGUAGUAGGUGAAGAAGGAGAGGACUGAGGCACCGAUCAGGGUGCCAAUGGCGGGCUUGACUGCGAAUGAGCCACUGGAGGGACCCGGUGCUGGGGCCUCAGCAGCCAAUGCCAUGGUGGCCGAAGCAGCGGCGACAAGGACGAUGCAAGCGAUCUUCUUCAUCUCCAUUGUGGUUGAGUUGGGUUGGAGACUAGGUCACCGGGAGCCUGCCUUUGGGUUUUCUGAAAGCUUGGAUGGAGAUAUAUCUCUUGAAUGUUUUUAUGCACCGAGAGAACAAGGUCUUGGGUGGGAGGGGUUUUAUAGGAGGGCUUGGUGAUUGCUUUUGCCAAGGAUGGUAGGUAAAAUUAAGGGAGGGGGAUGUUAGGGUUCGGUGGCCUUUGUUUUAUUAGGGUUUAUUUGUGGGGUUGGUGGCCUCCAUGUGGUGGUGGGAAGGCGUUCUGUUUACGUGAGGGCAUGUGCAUGGGAAUUUUAAGGCAAUGGUGAACGAGACAACCGGGUCCGGUCGUUGC